Molecule: ribosomal RNA, 2231 nt
Filed under: Triticum aestivum (bread wheat)
Lineage: Eukaryota; Viridiplantae; Streptophyta; Magnoliopsida; Poales; Poaceae
Description: partial small subunit ribosomal RNA
Source: RNAcentral
GGAGGGAGAGGGGCAGGGCAGGGAGAGGGACGGGGGGAGAGGUGGAUAGGUAGGUAGAUAGCGGAGGCGGGGGCCGCGCGUGACGUACCGAGGCGGUGUGUGUGGAGGCGCGCGCGGCACGUGGGCACGACGGAGGAGGUGCGUGGCGAGGUAUUCAUAGAGGCGGAGGCGAACGGAACGGCACGAAAGGUUGCUGGUGGUAUAUAUAACACGAAUGCAUAUAGUAUACCAUAUCGAAUAACGUGGAUGAUGAUGUGCAGAUGUGUGUAUAUCGAUCGAGUGGAGGCAAGACGAGACGGCCGGGUUAGGGCCCUGCUGUGUCGUUCGGUGGCCAGGAAGAAAGGCCCAUAUAUAUAUCGAAGCGUAACCUCCACCGCCCCGCACUACUUAUUGGUCACGCACGGCUCGACCCUAGACCUGCUCUGCCAACCGCGCCCCGAGUUGGGCCACAGGUGGUCCAGCCGCGUCGCAUACCGCAGACCUCUGUCGCCAGACUGCCCCGGCCAACGGUACGGGUACGGCCUGGUCAUGCUGCUCCACCGCCUCGACUGCACCCUCUUCCCGUUGUAGAAGACCGUCCCCGACGAGUUGGCCAGCCACGGGUUCAUGGGCCGGCGCGGCCGCGGCCGCGUCUACGUACGGUAGCCGCCGCGCCCACUAGUGGCCCUCUGCGAGCUCCGUCACCACCCGCUCCGCCGGCGAGCAAACAGCAGAGUCAGCUGCAGCGUGGAGCCCGUCGGCAACGGACGUCGACAGCGCGGAACCGAGCCACACCCGCGCGGUCGGCUGCCCGAGCACGGCACGCGCUCCCCACUGCUGGUCCGCCUCCCCCCGCACGCCUCCUUCGCCCGUGCCGUCCAGCCGCUCCUGCCCGCGCACACGCGGUCGGUUCCAUCGCGGCGCGGGCCGGCGCCGCUCUCGAGCGACGAGUGAGACCUCGGGACGCCGUGGCCGCGACUGCUGAACACGCCCAAGUGCUGCUGGUUGUUGAGGUGCAGCGACCUGGUGCCGAGGGGCCUCUGCCUCUUGUGCUCGAAGCCCCCUCCGCGUUCGCUGAGGGCGACGAAGUCGGCAGCCAGCGUCCGUUCGUUUCGAGACCCGAUUUUCGGAGUGUGCAAUGGUGUGUGUGGGACGUAUACGUACGGAGCUAGCAUUCGUAGAGCGUACGUGCAUCUCAUGCAGCUAGGUCGAACAGAACUAGGCAUACCCGAACGUCUAAGGGAUACGAAUACAAAAAAGAACGCAGAUAGAUUGGCCACGUACGCAGACAACUCUAUGUUUUCUCUCUGCCCGACACGCUGCUUCGUCUCUUGCAGCACUAGUUCCCCCCUCGAGGUUACUCCAGCAGGUAAAGGUGAUUCUCCUCGGCCCGACGACGGUAGGUAUUGCUUAGACUCGCAUUUUCUUCCCUGUCCUAGUUGGUCUUCUACGUCUGUAACGUUUUCGAGCAGGGGUUGAGUUCGUUCUGGCUGUUCCGUAGCUACGACCUGCUCCACUAGCUGGUGAACUUCGUCGACGUCCGUUGCCACGUCUACUACUUGGCCUACUCGUCGUACUACUACGGGUACCGGUACGGCGUCGAUCGGGUCUACAGGCAGUACCGGUUGUACCGGGUCUACCGGGUCUACCGCGUCUACCCGGACCCUUACUACUUGUACCGGCCCGGUGAGCGCGUCGGGCGGAUGGGCCCGGAGUGGGUCGGGUACUACGUCCGCAGGUGGGGAAAGCAGCGGUACGUCGGGACCUUGCGGCCGCGGCCGCGGCUGGCCGUCUUCGUCAGGCGGCGGCACGGCCUGCGGAUGAGGCGGAAGGAGCGGACGGUUCGCCGCGUCGUCUUGUGCGUCGUCGUUGUCGUUCGAGUUGGCUUGCCGUACCUCCGCAUGUCGUCCUACUACCGGUACAUGGUCUUCGAUUCGGUUGUCGUCUGGGCCGGCCCGUCGAGGUUUCUCACUAGCAUGAUGCAGCAUGUUCGUGGACAUGUCGUAAAGGGAAACCUGUACUUUUAGACGGCUGCGUGGUUCCGUGGAAUUCGUAGCACAUAAAAUGUGAGUUAACGUGUACUAAACAACAUGAAAGAAAAAACUUUGCCUACUAAACAACAUAAUUUUAGUAAGAUCGAACAUGCAUAUAGCAAAACUGUAGUAAAAUCGAACAUAUUCAGUGUCGGUUGACCAAUGGACUUCUACAAAAAACAUGACAGUCGGUUGACGAGUACUAAACCUUUAACCUGG